UACGUAGGGGCCUAGCGUUGCCCGGAUUUAUUGGGCGUAAAGAGCUCGUAGGCGGCUUGUCACGUCGGGUGUGAAAGCCCGGGGCUUAACCCCGGGUCUGCAUUCGAUACGGGCUAGCUAGAGUGUGGUAGGGGAGAUCGGAAUUCCUGGUGUAGCGGUGAAAUGCGCAGAUAUCAGGAGGAACACCGGUGGCGAAGGCGGAUCUCUGGGCCAUUACUGACGCUGAGGAGCGAAAGCGUGGGGAGCGAACAGG
This 253-nucleotide ribosomal RNA is filed under the name uncultured bacterium. RNAcentral's name for it is "partial 16S ribosomal RNA". It matches the Rfam family "Bacterial small subunit ribosomal RNA", at positions 524 to 776 of the family's 1533-position model. The record is from RNAcentral.